CCCUUAGACGUUCUGGGCCGCACGCGCGCUACACUGACGAAGGCAACGAGCUUUCCUUUACCGAAAGGUACGGGUAAUUUUUUGAAACUUCGUCGUGCUGGGGAUAGAUCCUUGCAAUUUUUGAUCUUAAACGAGGAAUGCCUAGUAAGCGCAAGUCAUCAACUUGCGUUGAUUACGUCCCUGCCCUUUGUACACACCGCCCGUCGCUACUACCGAUUGAAUGGUUUAGUGAGGCCUUCGGAUCCGCGACUCGUUUGUGGAGAAGUUGGACAAACUCAGUCAUUUAGAGGAAGUAAAAGUCGUAACA
Molecule: ribosomal RNA, 307 nt
Filed under: uncultured eukaryote
Lineage: Eukaryota
Description: partial 18S ribosomal RNA
Rfam family: Eukaryotic small subunit ribosomal RNA
Source: RNAcentral